AUGUCAGGCAUUGCAGCACCGAUGCUUGAAGCACUACCAAGUGCGAAGUUACCAUUCAGCAUCUCCACCGAGCUUGUGUUGUUGUUGUUGUUGUUGUUGUUGUUGUUGUUGUUGAUUGCGAAGUUACCAUUCGGCAUCUCCACCGAGCUCAUGUUGCUGUUGAUUGCAAAGUUACCAUUCGCCAUCCCGACCGAGCUCAUACUGUUGUUGAUUGCGAAGUUACCAUUCGGCAUCUCCACCGAGCUUAUGUUGUUGUUGAUUGAUAAAUCCUGCAGUCAGAAAACAAGUUUAGUUAGAUGCAACCUUAUCGAACUUCGUACUGCCAGUACAUUUUUAUAUGUGCAAAGCCUGAAAAACUUAGAGACAAGAUAG
Molecule: ribosomal RNA, 372 nt
Filed under: Triticum aestivum (bread wheat)
Lineage: Eukaryota; Viridiplantae; Streptophyta; Magnoliopsida; Poales; Poaceae
Description: partial small subunit ribosomal RNA
Source: RNAcentral